GGGCGCUGGACGCUGACCUGCUGGGGUGUGGCGCUGGGCAGGGCUUGCUGCUCUGAACGUGGCAGGUGCGCUGUACGCCGCAGACCCACAGGGCCCCUGCCUUCGGUCUCACCGACCUGAAACAGCCGGGCUGACCCCACAGCUCCUCUGCUUGUCGACCUGUGCGAGACCCACCCUAGAACCGUGAGCAGUGACCGAGAAGUUCACGCCCUCUAGCGUCUUCACUGUAGUGGGAGGGGGCAGCAAGAGGGAAAAGGAAGUGUAGUGUCUUUAGAAGACYGAGUGGCACGCUGAGUGGAUUUCCGCAUGGGGCUGGGGCAAGGAAAGGACUGAAGGAAAGGAGCUCCGCUGGAGUCUGGGGUGGUGAGGUGCGCGGCAGGGAGCCCCGCGCAUCCUAGUGUUGGGAGGGGUCUCUGGAGCUCCUCUGUAACUGCAGGCGUUAWGGUUAGGGCUGGGAUUAGAGCGUAGGGAGCAGGAGUCAGGUGGUCUGGGGGUGUGGGAGCACACGGGGCAGAGCUGGGCGUGGGUCAGUAGUGCCCCUGUGGGUGACCAGUAGACGUGGGCCUUGAGUCCUGUGAAGCUCCUUAGCUUGUAACACCUGGAAAUGGUUGGUCAAAGGAGUGACCACUGAGGUGACUAUAUGAAAUGGAGUCCUGGAGUUCUGGAGGAGCCCACCGGAAAGACCCAGCUGGAGCAACCCAGGGCAGAGCCACCGCCUGUGGGCGGGUCUGGCUUGUGUUAGCUGCUGGGGGUGAUUGCGAAUGCCCAUGGGGCUUUCAGAGGUCUUGGCAGCAGUAUGGAUGCAUCAUAGUGUGGAAACUGGAUCAUGGCAGGUUCCAAAAGUGCAGAUGUGAAACUGUGUUGAGAAUUCAUUCCAGGCCCAAGGUCCCUUCAUCCAACACCUGGGCUGCCAGCUGCUCUUCCAGGUGACCUCAUCUCACCAGCAGCACCAAGGCCACUACUCUGAGCCCUGCUCUGGUGUAUAGCCAUCCACUUUUCCACCAGGAGAUCUUCACAGCAUGACAACUCCAGGUCAUCCUUAGAGACUAUGCCCUCAUCCCACCCCUGCCAACGCUGAGGACAAGACAUGGGGCCUUCCUACCAUCUUUCUCUGUGCCUACACCAGCCUUCUGCUGACCUACCAGAGCCCAUCAGAAUCUGGCCAUGUGACCCUAACUCCACCCUGAUUCAACCCCCUGGGGUAGUGAGUAGCUUCCCUCUUCUGUCCUUUGCUCUGUAUCCAUUUUCAACAUGAUAUAGAGACUCUCAUAAAAAAUUAUUCAGGGCAUCCCUCCUCUGCUCAGAACCCUCCAGGGCUUCACUCAGCAGAAGCCUAAGGGUGGGGAACCCCAAAGGAGGAUGGGAAUCUGUGUUGUCUUGGUGGUGAGUUCACAGGGUUACACACAUCCCAGCCCACAAAGUAAAUGUGUGUAAAGGUGGACCCUAAAAUCAUGGCUCCAGGUCAGACUGUGGGGAGGGGAGGUCCUCCUCCCUGUGGAUGAGGGGUCCUCAUUCCUGUCUAUGAUCAGCCUUUCAGAGGUGCUGGCCUGUCCUCCUGUGAUCAAGUCUCAUUUUGAGGAACCAUUCCAGUUACCCACAAACCCUCAGUGAGGCAUCUGGCUCUACAGAGCAGGAGGAAUCGAGUUCUUUCUUGAUCCCACACUUCUCUGCAAGUUCUCUCUCAAACCCAUCAGUUUCUCUCCCCCAUCCCCAGGACCCUACUCAACAAGUGCCCUGGUCCAGAUCACCAGGACUUCCACCUCCAUAACCCCUACAUUUGACUGUGUCCUGCUCUCCUGGAAAAACCCUAGUUCCUGACCCCAGGCCAUCCUGAGAUGAGCAAUCAAAAAGCUGAUCCCUAGGCACCUGGGUCCAAGUAUGCCAGCUCUACCAAGCUACUCACUGGCUGCCCUACCUUGUGCACCACCCU
Molecule: long non-coding RNA, 1930 nt
Organism: Urocitellus parryii (Arctic ground squirrel)
Lineage: Eukaryota; Metazoa; Chordata; Mammalia; Rodentia; Sciuridae
Source: Ensembl